This 254-nucleotide ribosomal RNA is filed under the name uncultured bacterium. RNAcentral describes it as "partial 16S ribosomal RNA". It matches the Rfam family "Bacterial small subunit ribosomal RNA", at positions 524 to 776 of the family's 1533-position model. The record is from RNAcentral.
CACGUAGGCACCAAGCGUUAUCCGGAUUUAUUGGGCGUAAAGAGCUCGUAGGCGGUUCGGUAAGUCGGGUGUGAAAACUCUGGGCUCAACCCAGAGAGGCCACCCGAUACUGCUGUGACUAGAGUGCGGUAGGGGAGCGGGGAAUUCCUGGUGUAGCAGUGAAAUGCGCAGAUAUCAGGAGGAACACCAGCGGCGAAGGCGCCGCUCUGGGCCGUAACUGACGCUGAGGUGCGAAAGCGUGGGGAGCAAACAGG